Molecule: long non-coding RNA, 456 nt
Filed under: Arabidopsis lyrata
Lineage: Eukaryota; Viridiplantae; Streptophyta; Magnoliopsida; Brassicales; Brassicaceae
Description: long non-coding RNA (ALYR_LNC000628)
Source: RNAcentral
CUCAAGAAAAAAAAAGAAUUCUGUAAAGAAAGAAAAGAAAAAAGAAAAAGAAACUAGAAUGAAGAGGGCUUUGUUGGAUAUUCUCAAAAAAUUGUUCCUAAGAAAAGGUGAAGCUAAAAGGCUUGGGACUGAUCUUGCGACAAACUUGGGACAAAAAUAUGCUGAAAAAAAUGGUAGAAAGUUUAAAUAUUGUUUUAUAAUCUCAAACUUUUCAUUAGAUGAUUAAUAUUUAUUUGUUUAAUCCCUUUUUUUUUUUGAAGUACUCAAACCGCCGAAAGAAGAUUCUGAUAAAAAGGAUGACAACAAAGAUGCAUCGACAAGUACAUCUAAAUAGUUUAUACGUUAUAGUUAAUUUAGGUUGAUAAUAUAUGUAAGAAAUAAAAGAUUAAUUAUAGUUGUGUGUUUAUUUUUUUUAUUUGUCGAAAAUAAAAAUAAAAUUGGGAACGUUUCUUUAAA